Pundamilia nyererei is the source of this 548-nucleotide long non-coding RNA. RefSeq lists it as uncharacterized. The transcript has 5 exons. Lineage: Eukaryota; Metazoa; Chordata; Actinopteri; Cichliformes; Cichlidae. The record is from RefSeq and is a predicted model, not a curated record.
CUUUGAGUGACACACCUGGUGGUAGUCUUGGAUGUGCGUGUGUGAGGGGGGAAGGGGGGAGCUGGCUGGCUGGCUACUGACUCCAUCCGUGAGUGGUGCGUCGGCGGAGCUAUGAAUGGGCAGAGAGGGGUGUACUCUCACAGACACCAUAGCAGCAGUGAGAUGAGGAGUGUCAUUUACUCCACUGCACGCCUACUGUACUGAGAGGAGAAAAGAGAGGGAAGGAGUUGCACAGCCAAAGUUUGCAAGAAAAACAGAGUGAUCCAUCCUAAGUCCCCACAGCCCCGAACUUCUGAGGAAAAACUUUCAAGUCAGCCAUGGAGCAGAAGACAAAUGAGUGUCCCACCAACACCUCUCCUCAGAAACACAUGAAAAAUAGGUCUAAGUCCACAGAGGAGGUACAGCAGUCAAAGAAGGCCUUUUCCUCACAAAAAUCACUCCCAGGCAGACCAGAGCUGGAGAGAGUGAAGGAAUGUCCUGAUGGCUCUGAGACACCGUCAUCCUCCAGCGAAGAACUGAAAUGAUGAACAAAGCCAAAAAAAGAUGCC